This 65-nucleotide transfer RNA is filed under the name Dipodomys ordii (Ord's kangaroo rat). It matches the Rfam family "tRNA". Rfam says of the family: Transfer RNA (tRNA) molecules are approximately 80 nucleotides in length. Their secondary structure includes four short double-helical elements and three loops (D, anti-codon, and T loops). Lineage: Eukaryota; Metazoa; Chordata; Mammalia; Rodentia; Heteromyidae. The record is from Rfam by way of RNAcentral.
GGGAAGGUGGCUCAGUGGUAGAGUGCUUGCCUUGCAUGCAUGAGGCUCUGGAUUCAAUUUUCUCA